GUCAAGGUGCCAGAGUGGUUAAUGGGCUGCCCUGCUAUCGGAUUUCCUGAUACCAGCUUAGGCAGUGGCUUCGGUCGCGCAGGUUCGAAUCCUGUCCUUGACG
Molecule: transfer RNA, 103 nt
Organism: Colletotrichum chlorophyti
Lineage: Eukaryota; Fungi; Ascomycota; Sordariomycetes; Glomerellales; Glomerellaceae
Rfam family: tRNA
About the family: Transfer RNA (tRNA) molecules are approximately 80 nucleotides in length. Their secondary structure includes four short double-helical elements and three loops (D, anti-codon, and T loops).
Source: Rfam